Molecule: ribosomal RNA, 489 nt
Filed under: uncultured bacterium
Lineage: Bacteria
Description: partial 16S ribosomal RNA
Rfam family: Bacterial small subunit ribosomal RNA
Source: RNAcentral
GAUGGACGCUAGCUACAGGCUUAACACAUGCAAGUCGAGGGGCAGCAUGAUUGAAGCUUGCUUCAAUCGAUGGCGACCGGCGCACGGGUGAGUAACACGUAUCCAACCUGCCGAUAACUCGGGGAUAGCCUUUCGAACGAAAGAUUAAUACCCGAUAGUAUAGUAUUUCCGCAUGGUUUCACUAUUAAAGAACUUCGGUUAUCGAUGGGGAUGCGUUCCAUUAGAUAGUUGGCGGGGUAACGGCCCACCAAGUCAACGAUGGAUAGGGGUUCUGAGAGGAAGGUCCCCCACAUUGGAACUGAGACACGGUCUACACUCCUACGGGAGGCAGCAGUGAGGUAGAUUGGGCAAGGGACGAGAGUCUGAACCAGCCAAGUAGCGUGAAGGAGGACUGCGCUAGGGGUUGUAAACUUCUUUUAUACGGGAAUAAAGUGGAGUAUGCAUACUCCUUUGUAUGUACCGUAUGAAUAAGGAUCGGCUAACUCCGUG